RNAcentral lists this ribosomal RNA (204 nucleotides) under Triticum aestivum (bread wheat). RNAcentral's name for it is "partial small subunit ribosomal RNA". The record is from RNAcentral. Lineage: Eukaryota; Viridiplantae; Streptophyta; Magnoliopsida; Poales; Poaceae.
AUGAGCACCGCCAAGACGUCGUGGCCGGAGGUGGUGGGCUGGCCGGCGGCGCAGGCCGUGACUCAGGUCGGCACCGACAGGCCCGACGUGGCCAUCGAGGUGCUCCCGUCCGGCACCAGCGUGGCCCCUGGGUUCAACGGAGAGCGGGUCCGUGUCUUCUUCGACGGGACCGGCAGCGUCGCCGCCACUCCAUCGGUUGGUUAA